GAUGAACGCUGGCGGCGUGCUUAACACAUGCAAGUCGAACGAGAAGUGAAGACGGAACCCUUCGGGCGGAAGGCUUUAUUUCGAGUGGCGGACGGGUGAGUAACGCGUGGGUAACCUGCCUCAUACAGGGGGAUAACAGUUGGAAACGACUGUUAAUACCGCAUAAGACCACAGCACCGCAUGGUGCGGGGGUAAAAACUCCGGUGGUAUGAGAUGGACCCGCGUUCGAUUAGCCAGUUGGCGGGGUAACGGCCCACCAAAGCGACGAUCGAUAGCCGAUCUGAGAGGAUGACCGGCCACAUUGGGACUGAGACACGGCCCAAACUCCUACGGGAGGCAGCAGUGGGGAAUAUUGCACAAUGGGGGAAACCCUGAUGCAGCGACGCCGCGUGAGUGAAGAAGUAUUUCGGUAUGUAAAGCUCUAUCAGCAGGGAAGAAAAUGACGGUACCGGAGUAAGAAGCCCCGGCUAACUACGU
RNAcentral lists this ribosomal RNA (477 nucleotides) under uncultured bacterium. RNAcentral's name for it is "partial 16S ribosomal RNA". It matches the Rfam family "Bacterial small subunit ribosomal RNA", at positions 28 to 506 of the family's 1533-position model. The record is from RNAcentral.